Molecule: long non-coding RNA, 689 nt
Filed under: Nicotiana benthamiana
Lineage: Eukaryota; Viridiplantae; Streptophyta; Magnoliopsida; Solanales; Solanaceae
Description: long non-coding RNA (NBEN_LNC037236)
Source: RNAcentral
GCUAGAAGUGGAUAUUAUUACUUCAUCACUUUCCCUGAUGAUAUGUCAAGAUAUGGAUUUAUGUAUCUUAUGAAACAUAAAUUUGAAUCUUUUGAAAUGUUCAAAAGGUUCUGUAGUGAAGUUGAGAAACAGCUGGGUAAAAGUAUCAAGGUACUAAGGUCUGAUAGAGGCGAAAAAUAUCUUAGUGAAAAUUUUACUAAGAAUCUCAAAGAGAAUAAAGUUCUCUCACAAUUGACACCUCCAGGAACACCACAACAUAGUGGUGUGUCUGAAAGGAGAAAUCAAACCUUAUUAGAUUUGGUGAGAUCUAUGAUGGGGUUCACUGAUAAAUUUAUGGCGAUAUGCUUUGGAAGCAGCAACAUACUUACUAAAUAAAGUUCCCACUAAGUCCGUCUCCACAACACCAUAUGAGAUAUUGAAAGGAUGUAAGCCUAACCUUAAACAUAUUAAAGUUUGGGGUUGUCCAGCUUAUGUUAAGAGAAUGCAGUCUGAUAAACUUAACUCAAGAUUUGAUAAUUGUAGGUUCGUUGGUUAUCCCAAAGAAACAAUGGGAUAUUAUUUCUAUCAUCCUUCUGACCAUAAAGUGUUUGUAGCUAGAGGAGCAACCUUUUUGGAAAGGGAAUUUCUUUUGGAAGUAAAUUAUAGUGGAGAAAUAGAAUGAUGAAAUUCAAGAAACUAAUGAAACAUGC